UUGACAGCAUUGCAAACUGAAGUCCUCUAUUUAUCCACAGCUGAAGGGUAACUUUUCCCACAAUACCUCACACUCAACCCUGUGUCUCAGUCCUGACAGCUAGGUACUACAGCACUUCCAGGGAUAAGAGGGGAUUUCAUACUUACUAGUCCUUGGCCACU
Molecule: small RNA, 161 nt
Filed under: Chelonoidis abingdonii (Abingdon island giant tortoise)
Lineage: Eukaryota; Metazoa; Chordata; Testudines; Testudinidae
Description: TUC338 (ENSCABG00000022160.1)
Source: RNAcentral